UAAGAAUCCACAAAUAGUUAAUUCCACUACGCGAUUGAAUGAUUUUGACGUUUAUGGUUCAACGUAUUUUGUAAUUCAUAAUAGAAAUAUAUCAUAAUGACAUAAAAUAAAACAAUAUCAUACUGACGGGAGUCACGUUAUAAGAACCAAAGAAAUACAAAAAGUCGCAUAUACAAAACACGCCACAAAAAAAUGAAAGACA
This 202-nucleotide long non-coding RNA is filed under the name Mytilus galloprovincialis (Mediterranean mussel). The record is from RNAcentral. Lineage: Eukaryota; Metazoa; Mollusca; Bivalvia; Mytilida; Mytilidae.